UACGAAGGGGGCGAGCGUUGUUCGGAUUUACUGGGCGUAAAGGGCGCGCAGGCGGCUCAUUUUGUCAGGCGUGAAAGCCCCGGGCUUAACCUGGGAACUGCGUUUGAGACGGAUGGGCUAGAGUUCGGGAGAGGAGAGUGGAAUUCCCAGUGUAGAGGUGAAAUUCGUAGAUAUUGGGAAGAACACCAACGGCGAAAGCACUCUGCUGGGCCGACACUGACACUGAGAGACGAAAGCUAGGGGAGCGAAUGGG
Molecule: ribosomal RNA, 253 nt
Filed under: uncultured bacterium
Lineage: Bacteria
Description: partial 16S ribosomal RNA
Rfam family: Bacterial small subunit ribosomal RNA
Source: RNAcentral